Molecule: long non-coding RNA, 291 nt
Filed under: Elaeis guineensis (African oil palm)
Lineage: Eukaryota; Viridiplantae; Streptophyta; Magnoliopsida; Arecales; Arecaceae
Description: long non-coding RNA (EGUI_LNC061764)
Source: RNAcentral
GUCAUUCAAGACCAGAUGAGAAAAAGGGGGACCUUCCCAGCGGCCCCUUCGCAAUAAGGCUCAGUCCCGACUCCUACGGGAGCCGGACUUCACCCUCAACUUCGACCGCUGGUAAGCUCCAUCCGGACUCCUACGGGAGCCAGAUUUUGCCUCUGACUUCAAUUUCAGGUAGACUCCGUCCGGACUCCCACGGGAGCCGGACUUCGCCCCGACUUCACCUAUGGGAGCCGGACUCCCGUGGCCCCACCAAGAGCGGAGGAAAAAUCCCACUCGAAAAAGAAAAAGGGGGGA